This 231-nucleotide unclassified non-coding RNA is filed under the name fungal sp. Its description in RNAcentral is "partial internal transcribed spacer region". The record is from RNAcentral. Lineage: Eukaryota; Fungi.
CGUGAGUGAUGACGGCGAACUCGCCAGCCUUGACCUGAAUCGUCUUCUUCUCGCACUUGAGGCCGAGGGCGCGAUACUCGGUCGGGUUCUCGGCUUCAGCGCGCCACACGCCGGCGUGCAUCGAGCCCGCGUACCAGUCAAACGGCUCCUCGUCGACGAUGUCUCGGUCGCGGAAGGUGUAGCGCUCCACGCCCGUGGCCUGGUUCUCUUGGAUGAAGAACGCAGCCUGUC